AAUGAUUAUACUAUCUAUUUGUUAUGUUUGUUGUUUAAUCAAAACUUGAAGGUAUUUCAUGAAAAUGAUGAACAAAUACAACUACAAAAUUAAACACAAUAAGCUGAUAGAUUGUUUUCAAAAAAGUAGAUCUUUCUCCUUCAACUACAAAUUUGCAGCAACUAAAUUAGGAUAACAGUAGACUAUUUCUUCUUUCUAUGCAAUCCAGUCUUCUCAUUCAAAGUGGGAGCACCCUUCCUCCUUGAUAGCCUGCCUGUAACCUCACUUAUAUGGUGUAAAAUAAUGUCCAUUCUGCACAAAACAAAAAUUAUUUCUUCAUAAGCAACAACCAUAAUUAUAUAAUCUUUACAAGCUAACUACAACCUGUAGUUGUUUGUAUUAACAACCACAAUUAAUAUAAAAAUUAACGCAAUUUAACCACAUAGAGUUAUCUACAUGUAAAAAUACCUUAAUGGGAGAAACACUACAAAAAUAAUACAAAAUAACUCCCCUACCCGACCCCCUCCACAAAAUAACAUAUAAUCUCCAACAUAAUUACAUAAAAAUCACAAUACCCCAUUUGUAAAAUGUAUAUUUUAAACCCUAGCAUAUAACUACAGAAUAAACACUUCCGAACUACAGCACUAUAAAGUAGAUACAUUUCUAAAUUACAGUUCACAACUACAACUUAUACACAAUAUUUGGACCACAGAGGUGAUUGACUUCAACUAAACUACAAGAAAUAAAUUGUAACUUAAUAUCAACUAUAUUUAAACUAUGAAAUUAAACCAAAUGAUUUAAUAUCAACUUAAUAUCAGCUAUGCAUUCUACAGAAAUCAUGGUUCCAUUAAUAUACACAAGAAAAAAUAAAAUAAGUAUGUAAUUGUUAAAUAUCAAACCAAAUAAAAGACUGAGUUUUACGAUUAACAAAAUACUAAAAGUAAUCUUCUUGAUAUAAAAAAAGAAAAAGAACCUAACGCCUAAAAAUGAUAGAUAGAUUGGAGAGGGGACAACAAUUGAGGACAAUUUUUAACCAUUUUUUUUCUACAAAAAAAUUCAAUAAAUGAGAAGAGAGACAAAGGACAAAAGGANNNNNNNNNNNNNNNNNNNNNNNNNNNNNNNNNNNNNNNNNNNNNNNNNNNNNNNNNNNNNNNNNNNNNNNNNNNNNNNNNNGGGGGGGGGGGGGGGAUGAUCCGAAAGAGAAAAGAGAGAUCCGCUAUUUUUAUUGUCUUCUUCCACUCACCACCAUUAACGUCAAGUUCUUUAAACACUUCAUAACCAGCCCUUCAUCUCUUCAAUCCCAAUCAUUUUACACCCAAAACGUAGCCUCCUCAUCUCCGUCGGAUCAGCUCCACCAGUCAAUCACCUCCAGCUGCCCGUCAAACACCAACGACUAACUUUAGGAAUUUCUUGAGAGUUUUGAGGUGAUUUAUUGUUGUUUAUUGUUUACAACGACAAUUUUGAACGAAUUUGUGAGAAGAAAAAAUGGAGUGUAGUUGGAGAAGGAGGAAGGGUACGAGGUGGGGUGUAGUUGGUGGAGGAAAUUAGGGAAAAAGUUACUUUAAUUUAAAAAGUUAAAGCAAAUGUCAAAACUGAAUUAAUUGUGGGGAUUGAUGUUUCGGAAAAGGGUCAUAUAUGUCCUUCUACUUGUCAAAAUAAGCUAGAUUUAUCCUCCGUUAUACUAUUUGGCCAUAUAUGUCCCUGCGGUUCACAUCUCU
This 1697-nucleotide long non-coding RNA is filed under the name Nicotiana benthamiana. RNAcentral describes it as "long non-coding RNA (NBEN_LNC038192)". The record is from RNAcentral. Lineage: Eukaryota; Viridiplantae; Streptophyta; Magnoliopsida; Solanales; Solanaceae.